AGACCCGAAACCCGGUGAUCUAGCCAUGGGCAGGUUGAAGGUUGGGUAACACUAACUGGAGGACCGAACCGACUAAUGUUGAAAAAUUAGCGGAUGACUUGUGGCUGGGGGUGAAAGGCCAAUCAAACCGGGAGAUAGCUGGUUCUCCCCGAAAGCUAUUUAGGUAGCGCCUCGUGAAUUCAUCUCCGGGGGUAGAGCACUGUUUCGGCAAGGGGGUCAUCCCGACUUACCAACCCGAUGCAAACUGCGAAUACCGGAGAAUGUUAUCACGGGAGACACACGGCGGGUGCUAACGUCCGUCGUGAAGAGGGAAACAACCCAGACCGCCAGCUAAGGUCCCAAAGUCAUGGUUAAGUGGGAAACGAUGUGGGAAGGCCCAGACAGCCAGGAUGUUGGCUUAGAAGCAGCCAUCAUUUAAAGAAAGCGUAAUAGCUCACUGGUCGAGUCGGCCUGCGCGGAAGAUGUAACGGGGCUAAACCAUGCACCGAAGCUGCGGCAGCGACACUGUGUGUUGUUGGGUAGGGGAGCGUUCUGUAAGCCUGUGAAGGUGUGCUGUGAGGCAUGCUGGAGGUAUCAGAAGUGCGAAUGCUGACAUAAGUAACGAUAAAGCGGGUGAAAAGCCCGCUCGCCGGAAGACCAAGGGUUCCUGUCCAACGUUAAUCGGGGCAGGGUGAGUCGACCCCUAAGGCGAGGCCGAAAGGCGUAGUCGAUGGGAAACAGGUUAAUAUUCCUGUACUUGGUGUUACUGCGAAGGGGGGACGGAGAAGGCUAUGUUGGCCGGGCGACGGUUGUCCCGGUUUAAGCGUGUAGGCUGGUUUUCCAGGCAAAUCCGGAAAAUCAAGGCUGAGGCGUGAUGACGAGGCACUACGGUGCUGAAGCAACAAAUGCCCUGCUUCCAGGAAAAGCCUCUAAGCAUCAGGUAACAUCAAAUCGUACCCCAAACCGACACAGGUGGUCAGGUAGAGAAUACCAAGGCGCUUGAGAGAACUCGGGUGAAGGAACUAGGCAAAAUGGUGCCGUAACUUCGGGAGAAGGCACGCUGAUAUGUAGGUGAAGUCCCUCGCGGAUGGAGCUGAAAUCAGUCGAAGAUACCAGCUGGCUGCAACUGUUUAUUAAAAACACAGCACUGUGCAAACACGAAAGUGGACGUAUACGGUGUGACGCCUGCCCGGUGCCGGAAGGUUAAUUGAUGGGGUCAGCGCAAGCGAAGCUCUUGAUCGAAGCCCCGGUAAACGGCGGCCGUAACUAUAACGGUCCUAAGGUAGCGAAAUUCCUUGUCGGGUAAGUUCCGACCUGCACGAAUGGCGUAAUGAUGGCCAGGCUGUCUCCACCCGAGACUCAGUGAAAUUGAACUCGCUGUGAAGAUGCAGUGUACCCGCGGCAAGACGGAAAGACCCCGUGAACCUUUACUAUAGCUUGACACUGAACAUUGAGCCUUGAUGUGUAGGAUAGGUGGGAGGCUUUGAAGUGUGGACGCCAGUCUGCAUGGAGCCGACCUUGAAAUACCACCCUUUAAUGUUUGAUGUUCUAACGUGGACCCGUGAUCCGGGUUGCGGACAGUGUCUGGUGGGUAGUUUGACUGGGGCGGUCUCCUCCUAAAGAGUAACGGAGGAGCACGAAGGUUGGCUAAUCCUGGUCGGACAUCAGGAGGUUAGUGCAAUGGCAUAAGCCAGCUUGACUGCGAGCGUGACGGCGCGAGCAGGUGCGAAAGCAGGUCAUAGUGAUCCGGUGGUUCUGAAUGGAAGGGCCAUCGCUCAACGGAUAAAAGGUACUCCGGGGAUAACAGGCUGAUACCGCCCAAGAGUUCAUAUCGACGGCGGUGUUUGGCACCUCGAUGUCGGCUCAUCACAUCCUGGGGCUGAAGUAGGUCCCAAGGGUAUGGCUGUUCGCCAUUUAAAGUGGUACGCGAGCUGGGUUUAGAACGUCGUGAGACAGUUCGGUCCCUAUCUGCCGUGGGCGCUGGAGAACUGAGGGGGGCUGCUCCUAGUACGAGAGGACCGGAGUGGACGCAUCACUGGUGUUCGGGUUGUCAUGCCAAUGGCACUGCCCGGUAGCUAAAUGCGGAAGAGAUAAGUGCUGAAA
This 2082-nucleotide ribosomal RNA is filed under the name Escherichia coli. RNAcentral describes it as "partial 23S ribosomal RNA". It matches the Rfam family "Bacterial large subunit ribosomal RNA", at positions 711 to 2776 of the family's 2925-position model. Lineage: Bacteria; Pseudomonadati; Pseudomonadota; Gammaproteobacteria; Enterobacterales; Enterobacteriaceae. The record is from RNAcentral.